Panicum virgatum (switchgrass) is the source of this 2406-nucleotide long non-coding RNA. RefSeq lists it as uncharacterized. The record is from RefSeq and is a predicted model, not a curated record. Lineage: Eukaryota; Viridiplantae; Streptophyta; Magnoliopsida; Poales; Poaceae. The transcript is spliced from 13 exons.
GUGGAGUUGCUCUUAAGCACACGCAUACAUCCACACCCUCACAACACGCACAGGCUAUAGCCGCCAGCCUGCCGUGCGCCGCCUCCACGCCGCCGCCGACCAGCCACUGCCGCGCCGCCACAACCCGUCUCCGUGCCGCCUCCAGGCCGCCGCCGCGCCGGCCCAUGGCUGCCGUCCAGCAGCAUCUGAGGGGCCGCAGGGCUGCGGCGGCGGAGCAGGCGCAGCGGCCAAGGUAGCAGCAUCUCAACUGUGGUCCGGUGAGGAGCUUGUGGACCAUGGCGGCGGCGGCUCGGCAGCGGAUCGAGGUGGCACUCCUGCUGUCCUUCAGAUCUGCCUGGACAUCGUGAGGCGGCGGUGACAAUUUCUUAGCUCGGCUCCUCCCUCAUCGACGGCUUCAUGUAGGAACAAGCGCCACAACCAUUGCAGCGAUGCUCCGCCAUGAACAUGACCACUCCAAUUCAAGACCGUGCAGGAGGAUGGCACUCUGAUUUUCGUCGCCGCCGCCCGUUCAAUGAGGCGCUGUGCUCCCGAUGGCCAAAUUUUUUUUUCACCGCGCCGUUGUUUACCCUCCCUCCAUACCCGCCUGCCCAUUGGUCCUUCAGCGUGAUUUCCAGCCAUCACGCGGCACCUGCCCUUCCCGUCAAUCACGCCGCCUCCCCCUGACCCCCUCGCGACGCGCCUCCCCCCGACGCCGCCUCCUACCUCGCCCACGCUCGCCUCGCGCCCUCCCCUCCGUCCCCACGCCGCGGCCGCCGCUCUGUCCCCGGCCGCCUCUCCAUCACGGGCCGCCAAUCCUUGCCGUCCUGGCCGAUCUGCGCCGUCCCCGGCCGCCUCUCCGUCACGGGCCGCCACUCCUCGCCGUCCUGGCCGAUCUGCGCCGUCCCCGGCCGCCGACCGCGCCGCCCCCGGCCGUCAUCACCGUCGCCAGUGCGCCGCCCCCAGCUUCGCCAUCCGCGAUGUCAGCGCCGCCGCUCCGCCCCCGGCGUCGCCAUCCACGUCCAGCACCUGAUCCACCUUCUGUCCGCACCCUCGCCAUGAUUUGAAUGGCUGGAUAUUUCGAUUUGGUUUUCUUGUUGAUGAUUGUGGAGCGGAAAUUUGCUGGUGACCUGGCCAUUGGGGCAUCUUCAUCACGAGGAGUCGAGGAGCAGCCUCAUUGGGGCCGCCAUCAAGGCGCCCAAUAUCACAUCUAAGAAGCUCAUCAGCCAUCAGGCUAAAAAAGAAGAUGGUGGAUAAGGUUUGUGAUAAGCGUCAAGAUUCAAGAAGCAGCUUACAUUUGCUGAUGCUACUGCAGUUUGCGGCUCCUCCAUGUUCCUAGAUCUUGGCAUGAACUAAAUAUUAACAUGGGCUCUGUGACCUGGUGGGAUGUGCAACUGAAAUUUUCAGGGACAAAAGGGUGAGAACACAAGAAGUAGGAAGGGUACUGCAGAGAUUUUUAGGGAAAAAAACUGUCAAUUCAGGAAUUAAGAAGGGAAAAUCAUUAUAGUCAGGCUGCAAAGUACAUCGAGCACGAUAGCUCCUUCAGCGAGGAGAAACAAUCUAAAGCACUGAAGAUCAGUUGCAAGCUCAACUGCGUGGCGUGCAAGCUGAAGCUAAAAGAAUAAAGAGAAGCAGAGAAACUCUGCACAAAGUUCUGGAACUUUGGAGCACGGGUAUUAAGGCCCUGUAAAGAAGGGCGCAAGCCUACAGUGAACUUGUCGACCUGGAUCUGACAGAGCUGGAUAUCAAGAAAGCCCUCAAAAUUGAUCGUGAUAAUAGAUGUCAAGCUUGUGUACAAGACACUGAAGGAGAAGAUGAGAGAGUGCAACAUAAGGGAUGCCAAAUUCUACGACAACAUGUUUGCGAAAUGGAGGAAGCUGCAAGAGUAUUUGGAGCGGCAUGAUCGGGGGGGCAAACUGACGCAGACCUUGAUCCUGGUGUGGGUGACAUUCAGGACCAACAGGGAGAAAGAGUUAUGUUGAUUUAUUACCUAAAAAGAGAAUUGUGUUUUUUUAGGAUAAUAAUGAUUUGGAGGGCUCUGGUCAAAGCAAACAGAUCCAGAGACAAACUCCAUUCCUGAAAGGUAUUCGAUGAGUACAUGAACUUGGUCCUUGAUUAUGCUGAGAAAAUCAAUGUUAAGAAGAACACUAGGAAAUCAUUGGGUUAUAGAAAAGAGCUGAGAAAGGAUGGAAUAGUUUGCAUAAGCAAGCCUGCAAACCUGUAUUCUCAUUUGCUUACUGACAGUAGUUUACUGGAUUGAAUCAUUGACAAUGCAUGAAUACUUAUUUGUUCAUUUUAUUGCAAUAGCUCAAAGGUGGUAACAGAAACAUAGAAGUCUGUAUAUUACUUUCUUAUCUCUUUUGGCUGUUUCAAAAAUUGUAAUCAUGGAUGCAGAUCCGUGUCUGUAAAUAUAUUUUUUUAGCUCUUUUA